UAUUCUCAAACCUUGAUAGCUUUGCGGCUACUCGAGGCUUUGGAUGUGAGGGCUUGCUGGCUUCCUUAAGUGGCGGUCUGCUCCCUUUAAAUGCAUUAGUGGGAUCCUUUGUGGAUCGGUCACUUGGUGUGAUAAUUAUCUACGCCGCUUGGCUGUGAAGCAAGACUUGUGGGAACCUGCUCAUAACCGUCGAAAGACAACCAUUGACA
Molecule: unclassified non-coding RNA, 209 nt
Filed under: uncultured Mycena
Lineage: Eukaryota; Fungi; Basidiomycota; Agaricomycetes; Agaricales; Tricholomataceae
Description: sequence contains ITS2
Source: RNAcentral